GCCACGUGGCACAAUACCCGUCAAGCCUACACAUCAACUCAGCAUAGCUAUACGUUGACUUUGGGUCAACGCGGGCCGCGUAAGACCUGCUCUCAUUUGACGCGGGCCGCGAGAGAGUCCAGUAUCAGCACUAUAUAAAGGAGCCAUCGGGUUGAACUAGAAUUCGUUCAUUCUUCGAUUCUCAAUCUCAAUUUCUGAUAGUAGAGAUAAUAAGCGGGUAUUAUACCCCCUAAUUAGCGAAGCUCUGCCUCGUUAUUAUAACCAGGAAGUCACGAAGGAAAGCCCUAUAAUAGCAAUGCAUCACGUUGGAUGGACUUUCUUCAGUGUUACUGUGCUCCGCGGAUUGUGUUAAUUGAUGAAGUGAUGUUACAAGAUGAAACAAGAUUUAAGUGGACUUAGAAACACACAUAGAUUAAACUAUUUUGUUGUUGUACAUUUGAAACAAUGUUGUUUAUGUUGAUUUCUUGUAUUAUACUUUAGCAAUUUAUGAAAUCCAAUUU
RNAcentral lists this long non-coding RNA (500 nucleotides) under Helianthus annuus (common sunflower). Its description in RNAcentral is "sRNA HanXRQr2_Chr11g0505091". The record is from RNAcentral. Lineage: Eukaryota; Viridiplantae; Streptophyta; Magnoliopsida; Asterales; Asteraceae.